GUGCUUUAGAAAUUAAAACAAAUAGGGAUCGGUAAAAUGAGAGAAAGCUAAAGGUAAAUGUAGCUCAUGGUGACCUUAUCAACAGACCUUCUCUUGCACAUAAGCAAUAUGUCCAUGAUGAAGACUCAGAGAAGGAAGAUGACUAUGAGCUAAUCUAAUUCAAUAGAUAUCAACGGUAUGGUGGGAAGCAGACGAGCGUAUGAGAAUCAUGAAGGGGAAAAUCUACCGAAAAUUAAUAUUCCUAAUUUUUAUAGGGAUCUCAACAUUGAAGAAUUCU
RNAcentral lists this unclassified non-coding RNA (277 nucleotides) under Hevea brasiliensis (rubber tree). The record is from RNAcentral. Lineage: Eukaryota; Viridiplantae; Streptophyta; Magnoliopsida; Malpighiales; Euphorbiaceae.